Molecule: long non-coding RNA, 887 nt
Filed under: Arabidopsis thaliana (thale cress)
Lineage: Eukaryota; Viridiplantae; Streptophyta; Magnoliopsida; Brassicales; Brassicaceae
Description: ncRNA (AT4G40085)
Source: RNAcentral
AAUCUGCCCAUAAUUAUCCUCUAAAUUACCAAUAAUACCCUUGACCUCAAGAACCAAACCCCAGAACCCAUCAAUCCAACCUCUCUUCCAAUUCCCAUGGCAGAUUUCAGACAACCUCUCUUUACAACUCUCGAGCCGCUUCAAAGCACAGACAAGCUCGAUCGUAUCUCCAAAGCUCAAAGUGUUGGAUCGUUCUUUAAACUCGUUGAAUCUCGUGUAAAGCUCGUUGAUCGAAGACACGUAGUCUUCUCCUACCAACUGAGUGAUUUUGUCUGCGAGGGAUUUCCCACCGGAGAAGGGUAGAUCCGGAAUUUUACAUGCUUCUUCUAGUAGACCAACGAGAGCAUCGAUCUCACGAAGCAGAUCAGAGUUGAAAGUUUCAGAUAAUUCCGACCACCGGAAGCUGGAAAUACAGAGAGCUGAUCUUGGAGGAUGAAACGACCGUGUUUGACGAUGUGAUGGAUAAUGAUCAAAGACUUGAGAGCUACGCAAGCAUCUCCGGUGGUGUGAAGACGUUCCAUUAUGGAUUCGACAGCUGAAGAAGCGGUGGCUCGUGAGCCAGUACCGGCGGAGAGAAUAACGGCGAGGUGACGAUUCCCCGGCGGCGUUGAAGGGUCAUGAGUAGUGGCACGGAGGACAGAGAGAUGGAAAGAGAGAGUUUUGCUUUUAGUGUUUGAUGAUACUAAAGCAGCUUUGCUUUGAGAAGCUUUGUCUUUGAUUCUACCUAUUAGAUCUGCAAAACUUGUUAUUCUUCCCAUCGAUGAAUCGACGAUGAUCUACUACACCAGGUAGAUAUGACUUGUUUUGUUUUUCUUGCUUUUUGAUGGACUAAAAAGAAGAUAAUAUAUAGUAGUUUUUUUUGGUCAAUAAAGGAAACUGUUUUAUUC